RNAcentral lists this transfer RNA (77 nucleotides) under Caldilineae bacterium. Its description in RNAcentral is "tRNA-Ile". It matches the Rfam family "tRNA". Rfam says of the family: Transfer RNA (tRNA) molecules are approximately 80 nucleotides in length. Their secondary structure includes four short double-helical elements and three loops (D, anti-codon, and T loops). Further hydrogen bonds mediate the characteristic L-shaped molecular structure. tRNAs have two regions of fundamental functional importance: the anti-codon, which is responsible for specific mRNA codon recognition, and the 3' end, to which the tRNAs corresponding amino acid is attached (by aminoacyl-tRNA synthetases). tRNAs cope with the degeneracy of the genetic code in two manners: having more than one tRNA (with a specific anti-codon) for a particular amino acid; and 'wobble' base-pairing, i.e. permitting non-standard base-pairing at the 3rd anti-codon position. The record is from RNAcentral. Lineage: Bacteria; Bacillati; Chloroflexota; Caldilineae.
GGGCCUAUAGCUCAGCUGGUCAGAGCGUCCGCCUGAUAAGCGGGAGGUCAGUGGUUCAAGUCCACUUAGGCCCACCA